Molecule: non-coding RNA, 256 nt
Organism: Paramuricea clavata
Lineage: Eukaryota; Metazoa; Cnidaria; Anthozoa; Malacalcyonacea; Plexauridae
Source: the annotation of a GenBank genome assembly
UAUAUACAGGGUGUAUCAAAAAAAACUGAACAGAUCUGAAAUUGCUCUCAAUUUCGCAAAACACCUAUUUGUAUCUGGUUUUUUAUAUAUAUAGCUUCUUUGGGUACUUAUAAUGUAAAAUAAUGAAAAAAAUUUCUCGAACUCAAAUUCUGUGAACCAGGGGGGUGUGUCUUUCCCAACAAACUAAAAAUGGCUCGCGCACAAAAUUUAAAAGCUGUAAUCAUAUUUUGAGUUAAUAGAUUGAAAAUUUGUCGGG